This 123-nucleotide ribosomal RNA is filed under the name Coptodon aff. zillii 'Kisangani'. RNAcentral describes it as "partial 12S ribosomal RNA". The record is from RNAcentral. Lineage: Eukaryota; Metazoa; Chordata; Actinopteri; Cichliformes; Cichlidae.
CGCGCACACACCGCCCGUCACUCUCCCCAAGCCAAUCACCAUCCCAUAAAUAAUUCACUAUACCGGUAAAGGGGAGGCAAGUCGUAACAUGGUAAGCGUACCGGAAGGUGCGCUUGGAGAAAU